UGAGGAAUAUUGGUCAAUGGACGCAAGUCUGAACCAGCCAAGUAGCGUGCAGGAUGACGGCCCUAUGGGUUGUAAACUGCUUUUAUAUGGGGAUAAAGUGGGGAACGUGUUCCCUUUUGCAGGUACCAUAUGAAUAAGGACCGGCUAAUUCCGUGCCAGCAGCCGCGGUAAUACGGAAGGUUCGGGCGUUAUCCGGAUUUAUUGGGUUUAAAGGGAGCGUAGGCCGUUUGGUAAGCGUGUUGUGAAAUGUAGGAGCUCAACUUCUAGAUUGCAGCGUGAACUGUCAGACUUGAGUGCGCACAACGUAGGCGGAAUUCAUGGUGUAGCGGUGAAAUGCUUAGAUAUCAUGAAGAACUCCGAUUGCGAAGGCAGCUUACGGGAGCGCAACUGUCGCUGAAGCUCGAAGGUGCGGGUAUCGAACAGG
Molecule: ribosomal RNA, 424 nt
Filed under: Verrucomicrobiota bacterium
Lineage: Bacteria; Pseudomonadati; Verrucomicrobiota
Description: Verrucomicrobia bacterium partial 16S ribosomal RNA
Rfam family: Bacterial small subunit ribosomal RNA
Source: RNAcentral